AAGGCUUGACCUCAAAUCAGGUAGGAUACC
This 30-nucleotide ribosomal RNA is filed under the name Pisolithus tinctorius. RNAcentral's name for it is "partial 28S ribosomal RNA". Lineage: Eukaryota; Fungi; Basidiomycota; Agaricomycetes; Boletales; Pisolithaceae. The record is from RNAcentral.